GAGGGUGUAGCUCAGUUGGUAGAGUGCACCUUAUUAGCAUGUAUGAGGUCCUGGGUUCAAUUCCUAGUACCUCUA
RNAcentral lists this transfer RNA (75 nucleotides) under Camelus bactrianus (Bactrian camel). It matches the Rfam family "tRNA". From Rfam's summary of the family: Transfer RNA (tRNA) molecules are approximately 80 nucleotides in length. Their secondary structure includes four short double-helical elements and three loops (D, anti-codon, and T loops). Further hydrogen bonds mediate the characteristic L-shaped molecular structure. tRNAs have two regions of fundamental functional importance: the anti-codon, which is responsible for specific mRNA codon recognition, and the 3' end, to which the tRNAs corresponding amino acid is attached (by aminoacyl-tRNA synthetases). tRNAs cope with the degeneracy of the genetic code in two manners: having more than one tRNA (with a specific anti-codon) for a particular amino acid; and 'wobble' base-pairing, i.e. permitting non-standard base-pairing at the 3rd anti-codon position. Lineage: Eukaryota; Metazoa; Chordata; Mammalia; Artiodactyla; Camelidae. RNAcentral also lists the same sequence under 2 other names. The record is from Rfam by way of RNAcentral.